This 496-nucleotide ribosomal RNA is filed under the name uncultured bacterium. RNAcentral describes it as "partial 16S ribosomal RNA". It matches the Rfam family "Bacterial small subunit ribosomal RNA", at positions 28 to 506 of the family's 1533-position model. The record is from RNAcentral.
GAUGAACGCUGGCGGCGUGCCUAAUACAUGCAAGUCGAGCGAACAGAUGAGGAGCUUGCUCCUCUGACGUUAGCGGCGGACGGGUGAGUAACACGUGGAUAACCUACCUAUAAGACUGGGAUAACUUCGGGAAACCGGAGCUAAUACCGGAUAAUAUAUUGAACCGCAUGGUUCAAUAGUGAAAGACGGUUUUGCUGUCACUUAUAGAUGGAUCCGCGCCGCAUUAGCUAGUUGGUAAGGUAACGGCUUACCAAGGCAACGAUGCGUAGCCGACCUGAGAGGGUGAUCGGCCACACUGGAAGUGAGACACGGCCCAGACCCAUAGGGGAGGCAGCAGUAGGGAAUCUGCCGCAAUGGGCGAAAGCCUGACGGAGCAACGCCGCGUGAGUGAUGAAGGUCUGCGGAUCGUAAAACUCUGUUAUUAGGGAAGAACAAAUGUGUAAGUAACGAUGCACGUCUGGACGGUACCUAACCAGAAAGCCACGGCUAACUACGU